Long non-coding RNA from Dromaius novaehollandiae (emu), 1353 nucleotides. RefSeq lists it as uncharacterized. The record is from RefSeq and is a predicted model, not a curated record. The transcript has 3 exons. Lineage: Eukaryota; Metazoa; Chordata; Aves; Casuariiformes; Dromaiidae.
GGCGGGGAGGUGCUGCGCAAUGGCGUCGCCUGCCGCGGUGCGGCCCCAUCUCAGCACCUGCGGCUCCGACCCGCUGCCCAGCGGCCCCAGCAGGCCUCGGGGGGAGCCUUCCCCGGGGGGGCGCUUUGGAGGAGCGGCCCUGCGGGCUGAGGCCCCCGAGUCGGGCUGGGGUUCAAGCAGCGGGGCCUGGUUUGGGCGCAGAGGGCCGCCACUGGGCUCAGUGCCAUCACCACACACCUCCCUGUGCGGCCAGGGCCAGCUUUAGAAGUCGCACCAUCCAUUAAUUCCUCAUAAUAAACUUGCCAAACGUUGCAUUUAAGCAGUUUGGUGUCCAGAUUGAUCGAUGCCACUAUUAAACCAGGCUUCACGCUCACACUUGAGCUUUCGGAGUAGCUAACAGUCAGCAAGUCGCGGCCACCCCAUCCAUCCUCCCGGAGCGAUUGAGCUGACCGCUGAACAGAGACUCGGUGUGAUGCCGACUGAAAGCGAAUCGAUGUUACCGAGCCCGUCGGACACCUCGCAGCAGAGCUACGGGCCGCAUUGGGCUGCGAGGCGUGCGGGGGCUGACCGUCGGCACGCUGUACUGAUGGCGCGAUUUCUCACUGAUGCCCAGAGCAUUUUCUAUAUGCAGUGAAAUCUCCUGAAUGUACGAGGAUGAAGAGAACAGUAGUAAAGUAGAAACAAGAGGAAGAGCAGAAACCGCAGGUACUUCUGGGUUUACAUGCAUAUUCAUGAAAUGCCCUGUUCAAUCAGGGACGUCUUUGUAUUUUUAGUUUCUCAAAGCAACAAGAGCUUCUUUAUAACUUAUUCUGUAGAUUUGUAGUUGUUGAAAUCUCUCCUACAGAUAAAACUCAUCAAAAAAAAUCCACACUGCUGAGCCUUUUUAUUAUUAUUAUUAUUAUUAUUAUUAUUUGACACUCACAUUACAAAAUUUAGAAACCAUAGACAGUUCAGGCAAACUGUUAAAACACAGUAUAAAUUAAGGUUUUUUAAUAUAUAAAUUCUAUACAUAGGUAAGUUAGCUCAAACAUGACUGACAAAAGGAUUUCAUAACAAUCUUACCACAACUGUAUAAAAAGGCAUGGGAGUAGGAUGGGCACUACAGUCAUGAAUGCAGGUUAAGACAUUUUCCACAACAGCUAUAAAGCGUAACAAUGACCAUGCUAUUCUUGCAGUGUUUAUGUGGGGUACAGUAUGCAUAUUACCAUUAACAUUUUGCAAGGUCUAUGUACAGUCACAAAAUCAUAAUAGCCACUUUCAAGUAACCUUACUGUUUUCUGCCUGUGCAAUUAAUAAAGUGUCAGUAUUUGUUUGAGGACUUCUAAUUAAAAAAGCUGUAUGUUUUCAGUAUUA